Molecule: transfer RNA, 88 nt
Filed under: Solanum lycopersicum (tomato)
Lineage: Eukaryota; Viridiplantae; Streptophyta; Magnoliopsida; Solanales; Solanaceae
Rfam family: tRNA
About the family: Transfer RNA (tRNA) molecules are approximately 80 nucleotides in length. Their secondary structure includes four short double-helical elements and three loops (D, anti-codon, and T loops).
Source: Rfam by way of RNAcentral
GGAGAGAUGUCUGAGUGAACGAAAGCGGCGGAUUGCUAUUCCGUUGUACGAGUUAAUGGUACUGAGGGUUCAAAUCCAUCUCUUUCCG